CGCGAAAAACUCUACAAUGCACGCAAGUGUGAUAGGGCAACCCCCUUGUGCUACAACUAACGUUGGGCUUCUAUUUAUGUGUAAUGUUGUCAAUAAUGAAUAAGUGGUGGGCAAGACCGGGUGCCAGCAGCCGCGGUAAUACCGGCGUCCACGAGUGGAGUUCACUAUUAUUGGGUCUAAAGUGUCCGUAGCUGGUUUAUUAAGUCUCUUGUGAAAUUUCUGUUGCUUAACUCAGAAACUGCAAGAGAUACUGGUAAACUCGAGACCGGAAGAGGUAACAAGUAUUGUUUGGGUAGCGGUAAAAUGCUAUAAUCCUUACAAGACUAACUAAGGCGAAGGCAUGUUACUUGGACGGAUCUG
Molecule: ribosomal RNA, 360 nt
Filed under: uncultured Nitrososphaerota archaeon
Lineage: Archaea; Thermoproteati; Nitrososphaerota
Description: bacterial SSU rRNA
Rfam family: Archaeal small subunit ribosomal RNA
Source: RNAcentral